GACGAACGCUGGCGGCGUGCUUAACACAUGCAAGUCGAGCGGUAAGGCCCUUUCGGGGGUACACGAGCGGCGAACGGGUGAGUAACACGUGGGUGACCUGCCCUCAGCUCUGGGAUAAGCCUGGGAAACUGGGUCUAAUACUGGAUAUGACUCCACGGUGCAUGUCGUGGGGUGGAAAGCCUUGUGCGGCUGAGGAUGGGCCCGCGGCCUAUCAGCUUGUUGGUGGGGUGANGGCCUACCAAGGCGACGACGGGUAGCCGGCCUGAGAGGGCGACCGGCCACACUGGGACUGAGACACGGCCCAGACUCCUACGGGAGGCAGCAGUGGGGAAUCUUGCGCAAUGGGCGAAAGCCUGACGCAGCGACGCCGCGUGAGGGAUGACGGCCUGGU
RNAcentral lists this ribosomal RNA (391 nucleotides) under uncultured bacterium. RNAcentral describes it as "bacterial SSU rRNA". It matches the Rfam family "Bacterial small subunit ribosomal RNA", at positions 28 to 420 of the family's 1533-position model. The record is from RNAcentral.